RNAcentral lists this ribosomal RNA (274 nucleotides) under uncultured bacterium. Its description in RNAcentral is "partial 16S ribosomal RNA". It matches the Rfam family "Bacterial small subunit ribosomal RNA", at positions 523 to 796 of the family's 1533-position model. The record is from RNAcentral.
AUACGGAGGGUGCAAGCGUUACUCGGAAUCACUGGGCGUAAAGCGCGCGCAGGCGGCUUGAUAAGUUGGAUGUGAAAGCCUACGGCUCAACCGUAGAACUGCAUCCAAAACUGUCAAGCUAGAGUCUGGGAGGGGAAGAUGGAAUUAGUUGUGUAGGGGUAAAAUCCGUAGAGAUAACUAGGAAUACCAAUAGCGAAGGCGAUCUUCUGGAACAGUACUGACGCUGAGGCGCGAAAGCGUGGGGAGCAAACAGGAUUAGAAACCCGGGUAGUCC